Molecule: ribosomal RNA, 497 nt
Filed under: uncultured bacterium
Lineage: Bacteria
Description: partial 16S ribosomal RNA
Rfam family: Bacterial small subunit ribosomal RNA
Source: RNAcentral
GAUGAACGCUGGCGGCGUGCCUAAUACAUGCAAGUCGAGCGAACGGACGAGAAGCUUGCUUCUCUGAUGUUAGCGGCGGACGGGUGAGUAACACGUGGAUAACCUACCUAUAAGACUGGUAUAACUUCGGGAAACCGUAGCUAAUACCGGAUAAUAUUUUGAACCGCAUGGUUCAAAAGUGAAAGACGGUCUUGCUGUCACUUAUAGAUGGAUCCGCGCUGCAUUAGCUAGUUGGUAAGGUAACGGCUUACCAAGGCAACGAUGCAUAGCCGACCUGAGAGGGUGAUCGGCCACACUGGAGCGGAGACACGGACAUGCCUCCUGCGGGAGGCAGCAGUAGCGAAUAUUCCGCAAAGGGGGAGAGCCUGACGGAGUAAGCGGGUGUGGGAUGUAACGGUCCUGGGUUCGUAAGAACGUGUUUUUAGGGAUGAACAUAUUUGUACGUUGCCGUACACAUCUUGACGGUACUUUAUCAAAAAGCCACGGCUAACUACGUG